CCUCGCCGCCAGAGUGUUUGCCAGUAUUGGGAAGACUUCCUGUGUACCUGGAUAAGCCUGGACCGUCUACCCCUGGAAGGAUUUACUGAGUCUCACUGAGCAAGGGGAAAACCUCCACAUGAUCCGUUCAAGUUCACUCCUGGAAAACCAAUUGACAGUCCGCUCCUUUACUCCCCUGGGUCUAACCUAUGUCUGCCUGUCCGCUCUCAAACAAGUUCCUUCUUCUCUAGAUUAAACCCCCACAAACUGGAUCCAAGGAUAAACCAAGAGCCCCCCAAAACUUUGCCUCGACUGCUCCUGUUUGGCUCUGACGCCAUCCUGGAAAGAAACAUCAGCUGUGCUGGUUCCAUCAACACCCUUGUUUAUAGAUGCUGGAGAUUGGCCUGUUUUCAAGUGUGGUCCUGUUU
Cyprinodon tularosa is the source of this 407-nucleotide long non-coding RNA. RefSeq lists it as uncharacterized. The record is from RefSeq and is a predicted model, not a curated record. NCBI's taxonomy places the organism in Eukaryota, Metazoa, Chordata, Actinopteri, Cyprinodontiformes, Cyprinodontidae. The transcript is spliced from 3 exons.